CCUGUUUGUUUUGCUGCCUGCUGUCAUUCUCUGUCAAGACCAAAAAGAUGCUAACUCCGGAGGCGGUGUGGCACUUCCCGGUCCAAAUGUGGGACCGGGUUCUGUCCAAGGUGAACCGGGCCGUGGUGUUUAUGGACGACACAUGCGCGGAGGUCCUCCACUGGAGCACCGGGGGUGCUGCCGCCUUGUUCCAGGCCGGAGCCCGAAACAUGAAGCAGUUCUCCAGCUUCGAGUCGUGUAGUGACAGCGAGCCCAAGGCGGUGUUUGUGGUGAGCACCUUGCUGAAAGGCCGCACAGUGGACACCAUGAAGGACAUAAUCUCCCUCAGCCACCUGCAGUACUGCGUGGUGGUCACCACCGUGUCCCACUCACUACACCUGCUCGCCAACAACGUCACAGCGGACGUGGAUGGAGCGCCUGUGUUCGAGCAGUUUGAGGACAAGCUGUGCGAGUGGAUGGGCGACAUGAACUAUACGGCCGAGGUCAUGCACGUGCCCCUGACCUUCGCCCCUGUGUCCCAGCAGCUGCUGCUGGCGCCCGCUUAUGCACCGCUUUUCCCGCUGCUGCCCCCCGACCUGCGUGCUAUCAACGCCAAGCGUCCCGAGAAGAAGCGGUUCGGGAGCCUGCUGGAUGUGGACGUCCCCUCGCUGCCUGCCGAGCUGCAGAUUGAGAUCAAGUCGCUGGCGGCGGCGUUGAACGCCAUGUUUGAGGCCACAGGAACCAGAGAGGAGAGCUUCGCUGUGGGCCACAUGAGUCGUCUCAUAGCAGGGGAACUGGCCAGUCACCCCCAGGCUAAGAACCGCAGGAAGACGGCCCCCAAUAAAGCGUCGAUCAUCUUUGUGGACAGAACCUUGGACCUCACAGGCGCUGUUGGUCACCAUGGCGACAACUUGGUGGAGAAGAUUCUGACUGUGCUAAAACGCUUGCCGGGUCACGUGACCGAUGUACAGGUAGACAUGCAGGAGCUGACCAGUGUGCAGAUCAGUCCUUAUUCGCAGAGCAGUGUGGCGCCGGGCUGCCUUGCACAGACUCAGUCACCUGCAGCACAUUUACUUUGGGAGACCAUGCUCACCAGUAAGCACAAAGAAGCAGUGAUGGCGGUGCGACGCCAACUAGUGGAAGCCGCCAGCAAGGAGAAGCUGCCGAUCAAGAUGAGCAUGGGCCGCGUGACCCCUGAGCAGCUUUGCUCCUAUGCGCAGCUGUUUCGGCACAAUUUGGGGGCGCUAGAGAGUCACUGCGGGGUGCUCCAGCUGGGCCUGGCUACGGCUCAGACCCUCCGACACCCCCGCCUUUCCCGCUGGGAUGCCUGUCUGGCCUUUGAGAGGCUGCUGCUGCAGGCUCUGGGAGAUGCUGAAUUUCCCGUGGUGCUGAGGCAGCUGCUGCCCCUGAUGAAGCCCCGCGAAGGAGGCCAGGACAGCGGGUCCGCCUCAAGGUUCGGGGAAGACGAAUGCGGGCCUGACGAGCUGAUCCUCCUGCUGGUCUACCUGUAUUCGAUGGCCGACGAGGCGCAGCCAGCAGACCAGGAGGACGCCCAGGAGGAGGAACUGGAGAAGCUGGAGAGGGAGCUGAUGGGAGCGCUCACGCUGGCCAUCACCAGAGAGAUGGCACUCAGCCCGUUACUGCAAAAACUCACAGGGUGCACCCAGGCGGACGAGCUGACCACAGAGAGGGUCCACUCCACGGUGGAGGACAUGUUCCAGACCCUCCGUGGGCUGAGCCACGCCAGAGACCACCUGAAACAACUGCGACGCGUCUACACAGCCAGCGAUGGCGUCCACCAGGCCACCUAUCGGCCAUUCCUACGACAGAUUCUGGAGGAGGUCUUUCACCCGGACAGACACGAAUGUCCCGACAUCGAGCACAUGUCCGGGGGCCUCACGGACUUCCUGAAGACCGGAUUCAGCAUGUUCAUGAAGGUGAGCCGCCCACAUCCCAGCGACAACCCACUGCUCUUCCUUUUCCUGGUGGGUGGAGUCACACCCUCAGAGCUCCGCCUCAUCAAGGAGACCAUCGCUGCCUUGAAACCAGGAACUCAGGUGCUGGUUCUGUCCAAUAGACUGCUUAGGCCCACCGACAUACCCGACCUCCUCUUCACCAUGCAGAGACUGGCGCCAGACAUUGGCGUCUGAGGAGGCAGCACGUGCACCUGCGGCAGGUGACGAGCGCCGCCAUGGAACACCAACAGCUCCUUUGGAUCAAAGUUUCUGAGCCUGUUAGAGGUUAUAAGGUGUGAACAGAGGAAGGCCUGCUGCUGAGGUGAAUACACACAACACCCCCCUUCACCUAUGAACAUUCUGUCACACCUCAAUACAUCACACCAGAGGUAGGCCCUGUCCACACGGGAACGUUCUUGGGAUUUUUUUAUUUUUGACGGGUGUCCACGCUGUGCCAGAUUAGUAUAUAGUUACAUCCAGACGGGAACGGAUAACUGAGGGCGCUCCUAUGUGUGGCUCUGUGAACUGACACACAGACGGAACC
Dunckerocampus dactyliophorus (ringed pipefish) is the source of this 2478-nucleotide RNA transcript. It is a transcript of the gene named sec1 family domain containing 2, with no coding region annotated. Lineage: Eukaryota; Metazoa; Chordata; Actinopteri; Syngnathiformes; Syngnathidae. The record is from RefSeq and is a predicted model, not a curated record. The transcript is spliced from 11 exons.